UCCGUAGGGUGCAAGCGUUGUCCGGAAUUAUUGGGCGUAAAGAGCUCGUAGGCGGUCUGUCGCGUCGGAUGUGAAAAUCCAGGGCUCAACCCUGGACCUGCAUUCGAUACGGGCAGACUAGAGUUCGGUAGGGGAGACUGGAAUUCCUGGUGUAGCGGUGAAAUGCGCAGAUAUCAGGAGGAACACCGGUGGCGAAGGCGGGUCUCUGGGCCGAAACUGACGCUGAGGAGCGAAAGCGUGGGGAGCAAACAGG
This 253-nucleotide ribosomal RNA is filed under the name uncultured bacterium. RNAcentral describes it as "partial 16S ribosomal RNA". It matches the Rfam family "Bacterial small subunit ribosomal RNA", at positions 524 to 776 of the family's 1533-position model. The record is from RNAcentral.